CAAUAGCGUAUACUAAUGUUGUUGCAGUUAAAAAGCUCGUAGUUGAACUUCUGGUAGGAGUGUCCCGGCCUUUUUGUUUUUACAAAUUGUAUGCUGUGUGACAUCUCUGGCCAUCCUUCUUCUUUGUUUAAAGAAGAUCUUUCACUGUAAAAAAAUUAGGGUGUUCAAAGCAAAAGUUUCUUUGGAAUAUAUUAGUAUGGGAUGGUAAGAUAGGCUCUAGAUGCUAUUUUGUUGGUUUGCACAUUUAGAGAAUGAUUAACAGGGACAGUUGGGGGUAUUCGUAUUUACAUGUCAGAGGUGAAAUUCUUGGAUUUUGGAAAGACGAACUACUGCGAAAGCAUUUACCAAGGAUGUUUUCAUUAA
Molecule: ribosomal RNA, 363 nt
Filed under: uncultured eukaryote
Lineage: Eukaryota
Description: partial 18S ribosomal RNA
Rfam family: Eukaryotic small subunit ribosomal RNA
Source: RNAcentral